UGGGGAAUAUUGGACAAUGGGGGCAACCCUGAUCCAGCAAUGCCGCGUGUGUGAUGAAGGCCUUAGGGUUGUAAAGCACUUUCACUGGUGAAGAUGAUGACGGUAACCAGAGAAGAAGCCCCGGCUAACUUCGUGCCAGCAGCCGCGGUAAUACGAAGGGGGCGAGCGUUGUUCGGAAUUACUGGGCGUAAAGGGAGCGCAGGCGGUUCAUUCAGUUAGGCGUGAAAGCCCCGGGCUCAACCUGGGAACUGCGCUUAAUACUGAUGAGCUAGAAAACAGGAGAGGGUAGUGGAAUUUCCAGUGUAGAGGUGAAAUUCGUAGAUAUUGGAAAGAACACCGGUGGCGAAAGCGGCUACCUGGCCUGGUUUUGACGCUGAGGCUCGAAAGCGUGGGGAGCAAACAGG
Molecule: ribosomal RNA, 404 nt
Filed under: uncultured bacterium
Lineage: Bacteria
Description: bacterial SSU rRNA
Rfam family: Bacterial small subunit ribosomal RNA
Source: RNAcentral